UACGUAGGUGGCAAGCGUUGUCCGGAUUUACUGGGCGUAAAGGGCACGCAGGCGGUGCGGCGCGUUUCGCGUGACAGCGGAGGGCUUAACUCUCCGAGGAUGCGAAAGACGGCGGCACUUGAGGGCCAGAGAGGGACACGGAAUUCCGGGUGGAGUGGUGAAAUGCGUAGAGAUCCGGAGGAACACCGAAGGCGAAGGCAGUGUCCUGGCUGGUGACUGACGCUGAGGUGCGAAAGCUAGGGGAGCGAACGGG
RNAcentral lists this ribosomal RNA (253 nucleotides) under uncultured bacterium. Its description in RNAcentral is "partial 16S ribosomal RNA". It matches the Rfam family "Bacterial small subunit ribosomal RNA", at positions 524 to 776 of the family's 1533-position model. The record is from RNAcentral.